Molecule: ribosomal RNA, 253 nt
Filed under: uncultured bacterium
Lineage: Bacteria
Description: partial 16S ribosomal RNA
Rfam family: Bacterial small subunit ribosomal RNA
Source: RNAcentral
UACGAAGGGGGCUAGCGUUGCUCGGAAUUACUGGGCGUAAAGGGCGCGUAGGCGGAUAGUUUAGUCAGAGGUGAAAGCCCAGGGCUCAACCUUGGAAUUGCCUUUGAUACUGGCUGUCUUGAGUUCAGGAGAGGUGAGUGGAAUGCCGAGUGUAGAGGUGAAAUUCGUAGAUAUUCGGCGGAACACCAGUGGCGAAGGCGACUCACUGGCCCGAUACUGACGCUGAGGCGCGAAAGCGUGGGGGGCAAACAGG